AGUGAACGCUGGCGGUAGGCCUAACACAUGCGAGUCGAGCGGCAGCACAGUAAGAGCUUGCUCUUACGGGUGGCGAGUGGCGGACGGGUGAGGAAUACAUCGGAAUCUACUUUUUCGUGGGGGAUAACGCAGGGAAACUUACGCUAAUACCGCAUACGACCUACGGGUGAAAGCAGGGGAUCUUCGGACCUUGCGCGAUUGAAUGAGCCGAUGUCGGAUUAGCUAGUUGGCGGGGUAAAGGCCCACCAAGGCGACGAUCCGUAGCUGGUCUGAGAGGAUGAUCAGCCACACUGGAACUGAGACACGGUCCAGACUCCUACGGGAGGCAGCAGUGGGGAAUAUUGGACAAUGGGCGCAAGCCUGAUCCAGCCAUACCGCGUGGGUGAAGAAGGCCUUCGGGUUGUAAAGCCCUUUUGUUGGGAAAGAAAAGCAGCAGGUUAAUACCCCGCUGUUCUGACGGUACCCAAAGAAUAAGCACCGGCUAACUUCGUG
RNAcentral lists this ribosomal RNA (492 nucleotides) under uncultured bacterium. RNAcentral's name for it is "partial 16S ribosomal RNA". It matches the Rfam family "Bacterial small subunit ribosomal RNA", at positions 29 to 507 of the family's 1533-position model. The record is from RNAcentral.